This 484-nucleotide ribosomal RNA is filed under the name uncultured bacterium. Its description in RNAcentral is "partial 16S ribosomal RNA". It matches the Rfam family "Bacterial small subunit ribosomal RNA", at positions 30 to 507 of the family's 1533-position model. The record is from RNAcentral.
AUUGAACGCUGGCGGCAGGCCUAACACAUGCAAGUCGAGCGGAUGAAGGGAGCUUGUUCCUGGAUUCAGCGGCGGACGGGUGAGUAAUGCCUAGGAGUAUGCCCGGCAGUGGGGGAUAACGUCAGGAAACGGGCGCUAAUAUCGCAUACGACCAGAGGGAGAAAGGGGGGGUUCAUCGGACAUCACGCUACUAGCUGUGCCUAGGCCGGAUUAGCUAGUUGGUGGGGUAAAGGCCUACCAAGGCGACGAUCCGUAACUGGUCUGAGAGGGUGAUCUGUCACACUGGAACUGAGACACGGUCCAGACUCCUACGGGAGGCAGCAGUAGGGAAUCUUGGGCAAUGGGCGAAAGCCUGAUCCAGCCACGCCGCGUGAGUGAAGAAGGUCUUCGGAUUGUAAAGCUCUUUUAGUUGGGAGGAACAGAAGUAAGUUAAUACCUUGCUGUCUUGACGUUACCAACAGAGUAAGCACCGGCUAACUACGUG